GAUGAACGCUGGCGGCGUGCCUAAUACAUGCAAGUCGAGCGAACAGACGAGGAGCUUGCUCCUCUGACGUUAGCGGCGGACGGGUGAGUAACACGUGGAUAACCUACCUAUAAGACUGGGAUAGCUUCGGGAAACCGGAGCUAAUACCGGAUAAUAUAUUGAACCGCAUGGUUCAAUAGUGAAAGACGGUUUUGCUGUCGCUUAUAGAUGGAUCCGCGCCGCAUUAGCUAGUUGGUAAGGUAACGGCUUACCAAGGCGACGAUGCGUAGCCGACCUGAGAGGGUGAUCGGCCACACUGGAACUGAGACACGGUCCAGACUCCUACGGGAGGCAGCAGUAGGGAAUCUUCCGCAAUGGGCGAAAGCCUGACGGAGCAACGCCGCGUGAGUGAUGAAGGUCUUCGGAUCGUAAAACUCUGUUAUUAGGGAAGAACAAAUGUGUAAGUAACUAUGCACGUCUUGACGGUACCUAAUCAGAAAGCCACGGCUAACUACGUG
This 497-nucleotide ribosomal RNA is filed under the name uncultured bacterium. RNAcentral's name for it is "partial 16S ribosomal RNA". It matches the Rfam family "Bacterial small subunit ribosomal RNA", at positions 28 to 507 of the family's 1533-position model. The record is from RNAcentral.